CCUACGGGAGGCAGCAGUCGGGAAUAUUGCGCAAUGGAGGAAACUCUGACGCAGUGACGCCGCGUAUAGGAAGAAGGUUUUCGGAUUGUAAACUAUUGUCGUUAGGGAAGAUAAAAGACAGUACCUAAGGAGGAAGCCCCGGCUAACUAUGUGCCAGCAGCCGCGGUAAUACAUAGGGGGCGAGCGUUAUCCGGAAUUAUUGGG
RNAcentral lists this ribosomal RNA (204 nucleotides) under uncultured bacterium. RNAcentral describes it as "partial 16S ribosomal RNA". It matches the Rfam family "Bacterial small subunit ribosomal RNA", at positions 338 to 558 of the family's 1533-position model. The record is from RNAcentral.